UGUGACACCAUGUCAUUUACUUUAAACAUCAUGCUAAAUAUGCAUCAUAUUCCAAUAUUCAUCAAAGUCAACUUGAAAUUAUUUCAUUUGAAAUCUUUCAUUUCAUUGGGCCCUUGACCCACCAACUAUGCACCGGAUAGAGCUCUGCAUAAUAUCAAUAUCAAUAAUCAAGUGGCCAAUAUGAAAUUGACACCGGCGAGUGGACCAUACUCAUGACAUGCAUGAUUCUUGCUUACUAAGCAUUGGCUUAUAUAGCUUUUGCAUUGUAGGUGAGCAUGGAACUAUGUAGAGGGCACGGCUAGCUAUGGAGCUCUUACGGGAUUCCAAAGAUCAAUGUACAUGGAUGACGACUUAGGUCGAGGAGUCAAAGAUCAUCACUAUAUAAAGAUUUUAAAGCCUCGAUGAUAGAACACACGUUUUUAAGAGAAAGUAAUUAGGAAGUUGAUACAAAUGACAAUGUAAUUAGCAUAGAAUGCAUGAAUCAUAUUGGCCAAAUGUAGAACGUGAAGUUCGG
This 514-nucleotide long non-coding RNA is filed under the name Olea europaea subsp. europaea. The record is from RNAcentral. Lineage: Eukaryota; Viridiplantae; Streptophyta; Magnoliopsida; Lamiales; Oleaceae.